CUGCAGUGAUGAGUGUGACGUGACUGAUCUGGUAUUGCUCUCUUCCAGGGAGAGCUCUGACCAGCAAAUGAUCUCAGUUUAAUCUUCUCUCUGAGCAG
Molecule: small nucleolar RNA, 98 nt
Filed under: Mola mola (ocean sunfish)
Lineage: Eukaryota; Metazoa; Chordata; Actinopteri; Tetraodontiformes; Molidae
Description: Z30 small nucleolar RNA (ENSMMOG00000007589.1)
Rfam family: Z30 small nucleolar RNA
About the family: Z30 belongs to the C/D class of snoRNA which contain the C (UGAUGA) and D (CUGA) box motifs. Most of the members of the box C/D family function in directing site-specific 2'-O-methylation of substrate RNAs.
Source: Rfam by way of RNAcentral